Lathyrus oleraceus (garden pea) is the source of this 532-nucleotide long non-coding RNA. RefSeq lists it as uncharacterized. The transcript is spliced from 2 exons. The record is from RefSeq and is a predicted model, not a curated record. Lineage: Eukaryota; Viridiplantae; Streptophyta; Magnoliopsida; Fabales; Fabaceae.
GGGUCUGUAUUAUGGCAAAGCACCUCAAACUUCUACAUUGCUUGAUAACCGUGGAUGCCAAGCCUUGCGUAAAGACGUUGAAGGGCUUUAGUCUUCAAAAGAAGAACAUCCACAUUUCCGCUUGUUUAGGCUAGCUGUAUCAGAUGCUUCCUCACAACAGGAGUAUUUAAUCCAGAUCCAACUAAUAACAGCAGCAAGAGUCAUGUGCACAUGGAGGGUGAUUCGUUGAACAAAACCACAUGAUGGCCAACAUUGAGUUUUACGACCAUUCACGACACAUGGCAAACCAAAAACAACAGUCACAGAUUAAGAUUAAGAACGGAAUCAGAAUUGGGAUUGGGGAUAUAGGGUUUUAGGAAGUUGGGGAAUUAGGUUGACUUUGGUCAAAGUUGACCAAAAAGUCAACUGUUGACCAAAAAGUCCAAUAUUGGUCAACACCUCUUCCUUUGCAUUUUUUCCAUGUAAUGAACCUUUCAUGAUCAUGUAAUGAAUGACAUUUCUUCAUUUAAAUGAACUUGGAUUGGUAUUUGAA